GGGCGGACGUAGCCAAGUGGCUCAAGGCAGUGGAUUGUG
Molecule: transfer RNA, 39 nt
Filed under: Welwitschia mirabilis
Lineage: Eukaryota; Viridiplantae; Streptophyta; Gnetopsida; Welwitschiales; Welwitschiaceae
Description: partial tRNA-His
Source: RNAcentral